UUAAGCGACUAAGCGUACACGGUGGAUGCCCUGGCAGUCAGAGGCGAUGAAGGACGUGCUAAUCUGCGAAAAGCGUCGGUAAGGUGAUAUGAACCGUUAUAACCGGCGAUGUCCGAAUGGGGAAACCCAGUGCAAUUCGUUGCACUAUCGUUAACUGAAUACAUAGGUUAACGAGGCGAACCGGGGGAACUGAAACAUCUAAGUACCCCGAGGAAAAGAAAUCAACCGAGAUUCCCCCAGUAGCGGCGAGCGAACGGGGAGCAGCCCAGAGUCUGAAUCAGCUUGUGUGUUAGUGGAACGGUCUGGAAAGUCCGACGGUACAGGGUGAUAGUCCCGUACACCAAAAUGCACAGGUUGUGAACUCGAAGAGUAGGGCGGGACACGUGGUAUCCUGUCUGAAUAUGGGGGGACCAUCCUCCAAGGCUAAAUACUCCUGACUGACCGAUAGUGAACCAGUACCGUGAGGGAAAGGCGAAAAGAACCCCGGCGAGGGGAGUGAAAAAGAACCUGAAACCGUGUACGUACAAGCAGUGGGAGCACCUUCGUGGUGUGACUGCGUACCUUUUGUAUAAUGGGUCAGCGACUUAUAUUCUGUAGCAAGGUUAACCGUAUAGGGGAGCCGCAGGGAAACCGAGUCUUAACUGGGCGUUAAGUUGCAGGGUAUAGACCCGAAACCCGGUGAUCUAGCCAUGGGCAGGUUGAAGGUUGGGUAACACUAACUGGAGGACCGAACCGACUAAUGUUGAAAAAUUAGCGGAUGACUUGUGGCUGGGGGUGAAAGGCCAAUCAAACCGGGAGAUAGCUGGUUCUCCCCGAAAGCUAUUUAGGUAGCGCCUCGUGAACUCAUCUUCGGGGGUAGAGCACUGUUUCGGCUAGGGGGUCAUCCCGACUUACCAACCCGAUGCAAACUACGAAUACCGAAGAAUGUUAUCACGGGAGACACACGGCGGGUGCUAACGUCCGUCGUGAAGAGGGAAACAACCCAGACCGCCAGCUAAGGUCCCAAAGUCAUGGUUAAGUGGGAAACGAUGUGGGAAGGCACAGACAGCCAGGAUGUUGGCUUAGAAGCAGCCAUCAUUUAAAGAAAGCGUAAUAGCUCACUGGUCGAGUCGGCCUGCGCGGAAGAUGUAACGGGGCUAAACCAUGCACCGAAGCUGCGGCAGCGACACUAUGUGUUGUUGGGUAGGGGAGCGUUCUGUAAGCCUGCGAAGGUGGCCUGUGAGGGCUGCUGGAGGUAUCAGAAGUGCGAAUGCUGACAUAAGUAACGAUAAAGCGGGUGAAAAGCCCGCUCGCCGGAAGACCAAGGGUUCCUGUCCAACGUUAAUCGGGGCAGGGUGAGUCGACCCCUAAGGCGAGGCCGAAAGGCGUAGUCGAUGGGAAACAGGUUAAUAUUCCUGUACUUGGUGUUACUGCGAAGGGGGGACGGAGAAGGCUAUGUUAGCCGGGCGACGGUUGUCCCGGUUUAAGCAUGUAGGCGGAGGUUCCAGGUAAAUCCGGUACCUUUUAACGCUGAGGUGUGAUGACGAGGCACUACGGUGCUGAAGUAACAAAUGCCCUGCUUCCAGGAAAAGCCUCUAAGCAUCAGGUAACAUCAAAUCGUACCCCAAACCGACACAGGUGGUCAGGUAGAGAAUACCAAGGCGCUUGAGAGAACUCGGGUGAAGGAACUAGGCAAAAUGGUGCCGUAACUUCGGGAGAAGGCACGCUGGUGUGUAGGUGAAGUCCCUGCGGAUGGAGCUGAGACCAGUCGAAGAUACCAGCUGGCUGCAACUGUUUAUUAAAAACACAGCACUGUGCAAACACGAAAGUGGACGUAUACGGUGUGACGCCUGCCCGGUGCCGGAAGGUUAAUUGAUGGGGUUAUCCGUAAGGAGAAGCUCUUGAUCGAAGCCCCGGUAAACGGCGGCCGUAACUAUAACGGUCCUAAGGUAGCGAAAUUCCUUGUCGGGUAAGUUCCGACCUGCACGAAUGGCGUAAUGAUGGCCAGGCUGUCUCCACCCGAGACUCAGUGAAAUUGAACUCGCUGUGAAGAUGCAGUGUACCCGCGGCAAGACGGAAAGACCCCGUGAACCUUUACUAUAGCUUGACACUGAACAUUGAGCCUUGAUGUGUAGGAUAGGUGGGAGGCUUUGAAGCGUGGACGCCAGUCUGCGUGGAGCCAACCUUGAAAUACCACCCUUUAAUGUUUGAUGUUCUAACGUUGGCCCCUUAUCGGGGUUGCGGACAGUGUCUGGUGGGUAGUUUGACUGGGGCGGUCUCCUCCCAAAGAGUAACGGAGGAGCACGAAGGUUAGCUAAUCCUGGUCGGACAUCAGGAGGUUAGUGCAAUGGCAUAAGCUAGCUUGACUGCGAGCGUGACGGCGCGAGCAGGUGCGAAAGCAGGUCAUAGUGAUCCGGUGGUUCUGAAUGGAAGGGCCAUCGCUCAACGGAUAAAAGGUACUCCGGGGAUAACAGGCUGAUACCGCCCAAGAGUUCAUAUCGACGGCGGUGUUUGGCACCUCGAUGUCGGCUCAUCACAUCCUGGGGCUGAAGUAGGUCCCAAGGGUAUGGCUGUUCGCCAUUUAAAGUGGUACGCGAGCUGGGUUUAGAACGUCGUGAGACAGUUCGGUCCCUAUCUGCCGUGGGCGCUGGAGAAUUGAGGGGGGCUGCUCCUAGUACGAGAGGACCGGAGUGGACGCAUCACUGGUGUUCGGGUUGUCAUGCCAAUGGCACUGCCCGGUAGCUAAAUGCGGAAGAGAUAAGUGCUGAAAGCAUCUAAGCACGAAACUUGCCCCGAGAUGAGUUCUCCCUGAGACUUUAAGUCUCCUGAAGGAACGUUGAAGACGACGACGUUGAUAGGCCGGGUGUGUAAGCGCAGCGAUGCGUUGAGCUAACCGGUACUAAUGAACCGUGAGGCUUAACCUU
Molecule: ribosomal RNA, 2903 nt
Filed under: Klebsiella variicola
Lineage: Bacteria; Pseudomonadati; Pseudomonadota; Gammaproteobacteria; Enterobacterales; Enterobacteriaceae
Description: bacterial LSU rRNA
Rfam family: Bacterial large subunit ribosomal RNA
Source: RNAcentral